CAAUAGCGUAUAUUAACGUUGUUGCAGUUAAAAAGCUCGUAGUUGGAUUUCUGGAGGGAGCGUCGGCCCGUAUUUACGAGUGCGUGACGUCUCUGUCCAUCCUUGCGGGAAGGCACGGCAUUGAUUUGUUGUGUCGGAUCGCAUCAUUUACUGUGAAAAAAUUAGAGUGUUCAAAGCAGGCUUUCGCUUGAAUACAUUAGCAUGGAAUAAUAAGAUAGGACUUUGGUGCUAUUUUGUUGGUUGAGCCUAAAGUAAUGAUUAAUAGGGAUAGUUGGGGGCACCUGUAUUGCGUUGUCAGAGGUGAAAUUCUUGGAUUUACGCAAGACAAACAGCUGCGAAAGCGUCUGCCAAGGGUGUUUUCAUUA
This 365-nucleotide ribosomal RNA is filed under the name uncultured eukaryote. RNAcentral's name for it is "partial 18S ribosomal RNA". It matches the Rfam family "Eukaryotic small subunit ribosomal RNA", at positions 592 to 975 of the family's 1831-position model. The record is from RNAcentral.